Long non-coding RNA from Heterocephalus glaber (naked mole-rat), 503 nucleotides. The record is from Ensembl. Lineage: Eukaryota; Metazoa; Chordata; Mammalia; Rodentia; Bathyergidae.
GUCCCAGACACCUGCUUGCUACUUAUUGAGAGGGAUAUUAAUAAGAGCUAAUAUUUAUUGAAUAUCUACUAUGCACUACGUAUCUUACGCUCCUUAAAUCUAACUCAUUUAAGUCUUCCCAACCGCCCCAUCCGGUGGCUAAUUAUUAUUCUCAUUUUACGAUGAGGUAACAGGAGUCACAAACAAGUAACUUGCUUAAGGUCACAAUAAAGGGCUUUACGUGAGAGGCUGAAAGAUGGAAAACACAAGGGCCCCUCGCUCUGUGACUCAGCGCUCCCACAUGCCCCAGCCUCCCAGCUUCCAACAAAGCCUCUCCCGUGGUCUUUAACAGCUUCACACCCUGCCCCAGGAUCCUCGCGGCCUCACCACGCAGGAGCGCGCGUGCACAGAGGCUCCCCCAGCACCACCACCCUCAGUUUAAACUUCCCCGAACUCAGCGCUGCCCACCCCACCCCCGCCCGCAGGCAAGUGGGCGCGGCUCACCUUGGCGCCGGGGUGCGCGC